This 1369-nucleotide long non-coding RNA is filed under the name Homo sapiens (human). Its description in RNAcentral is "HSALNT0263113". Lineage: Eukaryota; Metazoa; Chordata; Mammalia; Primates; Hominidae. The record is from RNAcentral.
CCUGCCUGGGCCUCCCAAAGUGCUGGGAUUACAGGCAUGAGCCACCAUGCCCAGCCUGAGAUAUUUCUUUAUAGUAACACAAAAACAGCCUAACAAAAAGGUCACAUAGUAGGUAGGAUUUAGUAAGAAAGAGAGCUGAGAUUUCAAGGCAGGUGAACUGGGUCUAAUGUUUCCACUGCUUUACUCACCUCUCCCUACCUCUAGAUUUCCACCCUCCCAUGUUGAAAUCUCUUGGUUAUAAAUUUUCACUUGUGCUUCUUUCUUAGAUCACCUUCUUGAAUCACAGUGGUGUCUAUUUUCAUAUCCAUUGAGGGUAUAGUGAUUCCUUGAGGGUUACAAGGUCUGCAGAUCGAUGAGUUCUUGGCAUUUUGGAGAGGCCAGAGACUGGUAGCUCUGAGUCAUUAGUUGUCAGGCCAUGCCUCCCCAUCAAACAAUCGAAGCUUGGCUGACUUCUCUGAGUGCCAGAAGAAGGCUGGGGCUGGGGGUAGAGGAUCUGGGUUUCACAAGAGGCGAGUCUGGAAAUGUCAAAAUUGGGGUCCAAGGUGAGAGGAUGGCGUGGUAGGACAACAUUGUCUGCCAUCCGUGUAUAAUGGCUGAAGCUCUGGUUAGUGGGUGUGGCCUAAGGAGAAUGUAGUGAUUCCCACUGUCGGUGUAAAGGGCUUCAUAUUGAUGGAGAGUUUUCUGUGUUGUCAGAAGUUCUGGUGGACACUGUGAGACAGAUUUCAUGGAUUUAUAGAUGAGACAGCUGAAGCUUGGGAGUCUGUGCCCCAGAUCGCACAAUUUAUUAGCAGUAGGAGUCCAAGUUGAGCCAAGCCAGAGAAGGUUACUGAGUGUUUUGGCACCCUUGGCCUUAAUCUGCUGCUCUUCAGAUUUCACAGCCCCCAUGUUCCAGAUAGUUCACUCAAAGCUUGGGAGUUGGAGAUGAGGGAAUCAACAGAUGCUGACACUAGCAUGAAGGAGAGGUAUAGCUGAUCUGGAGGUAUGAUUGGGAGAGGUUGAGAAGCCUUUCAAGGGUGUCCCUGAUGUGGGAGGGCACAAGCAAAGGCCCAGGGGCAAGGAACUGCCCAGUAGAUUCCAGAAGAGAACUACCAUUGCAUACAGCAGAGUGUACAAUAACAGGGUAGUCAGUACACUGCAUCAAGGGGCUGAAGGCAACUGCCUUUUGGUUUGAGCAUAGUCUGAAAGCAGUGGAGCCACUGAAUCCCACAAAAGCUGGUAACCUGGACAGCUCAAAAGUCACAGCCAUCAGGACUUUGCCUGGAAUAUUCUGGCAUUAUUGGCAAACAUCUAUCUUCCCCUAACAGGUUGGCUGCUGUAUACUGAGACCCAGUCGGAGAUCAGAAGGCAGGUUCAGUAGAAACACGUAGGA